RNAcentral lists this RNase P RNA (203 nucleotides) under Clostridia bacterium. RNAcentral describes it as "partial RNase P RNA component class A". It matches the Rfam family "Bacterial RNase P class A", at positions 154 to 367 of the family's 367-position model. Rfam says of the family: Ribonuclease P (RNase P) is a ubiquitous endoribonuclease, found in archaea, bacteria and eukarya as well as chloroplasts and mitochondria. Its best characterised activity is the generation of mature 5'-ends of tRNAs by cleaving the 5'-leader elements of precursor-tRNAs. Cellular RNase Ps are ribonucleoproteins. Lineage: Bacteria; Bacillati; Bacillota; Clostridia. The record is from RNAcentral.
GAAAGGCGAGGUAAGAGCUCACCACGGGAACGGAGACGUAUCCCGUCUGUAAACCCUAUCCGAUGCAACACUGAAUUAUGCUAUACGUCGGCCCGACGUGCAUAGACAAGUGGCUUGAGCCUGUCGGCAACGGCAGGUCGAGAUAGAUGGUCGUCGGGGAAUUUAUUCCCACACAGAACCCGGCUUACAGACCGAGUGACAUU